UUAGUUCAGGGUUUGUUUAACUA
RNAcentral lists this non-coding RNA (23 nucleotides) under Arabidopsis thaliana (thale cress). Lineage: Eukaryota; Viridiplantae; Streptophyta; Magnoliopsida; Brassicales; Brassicaceae. The record is from RNAcentral.